Pseudophryne corroboree (corroboree frog) is the source of this 641-nucleotide long non-coding RNA. RefSeq lists it as uncharacterized. The record is from RefSeq and is a predicted model, not a curated record. The transcript is spliced from 4 exons. Lineage: Eukaryota; Metazoa; Chordata; Amphibia; Anura; Myobatrachidae.
CCCUCAGAAACACCGGUGUACGAGGAGAGCGCGGAGCCACAGCAGCGGCGGCCACAUGAUAAGAAGCCUUAACCAGAAGCCACCAGGAAACAGCAGCAGCUGUAGGAGACGCGAGGAGAACAGAAGCAGGUGGACGCUGAGACACACAGAGCGUAGGAACAGGUUCCCUCAGAAACACCGGUGUACGAGGAGAGCGCGGAGCCACAGCAGCGGCGGCCACAUGAUAAGAAGCCUUAACCAGAAGCCACCAGGAAACAGCAGCAGCUGUAGGAGACGCGAGGAGAACAGAAGCAGGUGGACGCUGAGACACACAGAGCGUAGGAACAGGCAUGCAGAUGAAGAGCUCAGAGUGGAAACAAUGCAAGUCUAAUGCUCAGGUGUGGAGAACCGGGGGUAUGGAGGAGUCCCAGUGGAAAGUAAAGGGAUCGGUGACUGACCAGUUCCAUCCAGAAGAUUGGGACCAUCCACUAUCUGGCUCCUUCACCAAGCAACUCGUAUUGAGAAGUGAGGUUCCAGAGGCAGCAGCAGCCGAUUAUACCGUGUCUGUGAUGUCACAGUGUACUGGCUGACUGACAUCAUCACCAGCCAUCAGCACCAGCCUGGAGAAAUGUCCAUCUUGUUUAUUUCAUCAGUCCAUACAG